GUGUUGUCCUAACUGGGCAGUAUCCUGUGCUCAGAGAAUAGCAAAUGUCCUGAGAGGGUUGAAGACCCAGGGCUGAACUCAGAAGCCACAUUUUAGCUUUGCAGCAAGUUGCUCACAUUGCAGAAUCUUCUGGGAGAGCCACCUGCUGGCUGUCCUGUGACACAUGGACUGAAGCAACCGCUUGGACCUCCAGGCUGGCCCUGUAGACCCUGGUGCAUCCUGGAGAAAGCCAACAGAAACAGGCUGCAUGCACAGCACUCCCUCCCCACUCGCUGAGGGGCUCUCGGUCACUGCGUUUCUGAUACUCCUGCAGCUGUCUCAGAGGACCUAGCUAAGUCCAGAGAUACCACGUGACAGACACAGGAAGAGGCCUCGUACCUGGCAAAAAAAUCUGGAGGUGGCGGGAUCCCAUCCACCUGUGACCUCUGGCUUUUGUCACCGGGGCUGCCCUGAGUCAGAAUGGGCCAGAAAAGUUAAUGCUUAACCCGGAGGUUCUGAGAGAGCCGCUGGCCACUACGUCAGCACUCCGAGGGGACUCGGGUCAUCGCAGACAACCAGCCCUGGUUCAAAGUCCGGAGUCCCCACGAGGUUGCCUGCCAGUGGGAGAAUGCUGGUGUUGAUGCCCCAGAACUUGAGGACUGUGGUUCCAGAAUGCUGACCAUGGUGGGCAGCUACAGCCUCAGGCUGAACCUGUGGGUGACCGUGUGGCUGGUAUCCAUGGGACAGGUCCAUGCUGACUCAGGCAAGAGCUAGGGUAUCAUCAUAGAUGAAGGGUGGUGGAGGCCAGGCCUCAUGGUGGGAGGUUGAGGGCGGAAAGGAAGGAUGCCCAGGGGAGAAGUCACUGCCCAAGUUGGGCCAAGAUGCCACUUGGAACUUUCUGAAUGAAGACCAUGGAUCCUGGGAGAACAUGAGGAACAGAUGAGAGAGAGAGAGAGAGGCCAUGGGUGAAGUUGGCCGGGCUUCUGGAUCCAUCAGAUGUCAUGGUCACCUGCAAACGUCAUUCUUUUAGUAGCUUCUGAGUGACCACUGGUGGGGCAGGUCCUCUUGGCAUUGGAACAGGCUAAACCAAUAGAGUGAUGCUCACAGGGUAGCUAACGAUGUGUGGGGAGAGGGGUAUUCAGGAAGCCCCAACCGGUACAGUGCACGGAGCCCCAAGAGAUGAGCCAGAGGAAGCUGAGGAGGAAGGGCAGGUGACGUCCCUGCAAAGGUCCCCAGGCAGGAGAACUUAGGAGAGGCUGAGGGGCCUGGGCCUGGGGCUGAAGAUGGAAAGACGCCAGGGAGAGGGCACAGCCAGCGGGGUCUGGGAGAGAGCGAGGUCUCGGGCUGGUGAGAUGGUUUCGCAGGUAAAGGUACCUCUUGGACAGGAUCGACAACCAGAGGGUGGUGGUCCAGCACUCAGGAGGCAGAGGAAGGUGGAGCUCUCUGACUCAAGGGUGGCUUCGUCUACAGAAUCAGGGGCGCCACCUGGUGGCCGGAGUCUCAGCCAUGGAAGCCUCGGACCAGACCUCUGUCCAGGUGUGCCAGUGUCCCGGGUGGGCUCAAAAGACACUCAGGUACGCUUCCCAGUUAGCACAGGUGACACAGGAAGCCGAGGGACCCUAAAGAAAUCCACACGGGGCUGGAGUUUCACGCCCAGUACCAGCCUCUCUUCCCACACACUUCGGUUUCCUUCCAGACUUUUCUCCACACACCCAGGUACUUGCUAAUGUAAAAAGUGAGUUGCAGCCCACAGAAUCAGGAAGCUGAUGGGCUCCCACGCACUUCAAGAUGGGGGGGUUCUCCCUCUCUGUCAGCUGAGAUUUCUUCUGGUGGGCAGAGAGUGGCGGCGAGAUAACACCAGACGGGGGUGUGACCAGGAGCCAGGUGAGCUUCUAGACGUCUCCUCCCCCCCUUGUUCUCCCUCCACUGAGGAAGAUGAGGAAGACGGAAUGACCACAGACCUCACCAAGGGGAUAGGGAGUGGGACUGGGGGCAGAUGUCACCCUACAGAGUUCCUUCUGUCCACAAAGGUGGCAUCUCACGACAACCACCGGCCUUUGCCUGUCCCAGGGCUCCUUGACCUGUGGUCUGCCUGUUUGCCUGCUGGAGGUGGGAAUGUGGUAGCCAAGACAGAGCAGAUCCACCUGGAGGCACCUCAGCCCCAGGGACUGUCAGCGGGUAUCUGCUGUGCUUCCCCUGGGAUGUGCUUCUCAGUGGGGGCUCCCUGGCCACUUGUCCUGUUCUCUGAUUCAGAGGGCUUCGGAGCACAGAGGCCACUUCCACAUCGUUGGCCGGGGGAAUGAAGCAACUUCACAGCGACCUGUCUGCUCUUGUCACUUGUGGAAGAGGCGAGGCGAGGACCUGGUGGGAGGUCAUUGUCACACCAGGCGUACCUACCCAUUGCUUCCGUGAGACUAACUUUGAGGGGACCACGACAUCCCGACAGCCUACGGCCCCUUCCAAGGACACCCUGGGAUUCAUUUAAGCUUCCGUUUUCCAGAUGGGGAAACUGAGGCUUGGGGAGGGGAACAACAAAUAGAGCUGCACAUAUGCUGAGUGUCCAAGGACCCCGUCAGUCACUUUCCGCUCGGGAAAGUUAGGGGUGGGGGUGGGGGCUCUCCCUGGCUGUGUGACUCGUGGUUCCUGGGCUAGUGUGUAACAUGUCACUGGUGCAGCUGUCUGUGUGGAGACGUUUCCCCACCCCAGGUGCUGCUGUGUUGUGAGUUGGGCUGGAGUACAAGACGGGCCAUUCAGGGUGUCACAGCCCAGAAUGCAAACUGACUGGAGGACAGCCAGCACUAACCAGGGCCUACUGAGUUCUGUUCCAUAAGUCCUGUGUGACUGUCACACUCAAACCAGGCCGUGUUACCCCUGGCAAAUAGUUCAACUUCCCCGAGCUCCUUGAAACGGACAGUUCUUCACACAUAGCCAUGGUGGGUAAGCUGGUCUGAUGCUGUCAGCAACUACCGGACAAGCUGUGCGCUCCAGGAAGGAGCAAGCAGGUCUUGCGUGGGUGGGAGCUCUUUACAAACACGUUGCAGGGUUGUCCCGGAAAGGGCGCAGGUCCUUCAACUUUGAGCAUGGGUGUCCGUUGGAGAAAGCUCGCGUAAGGAGAAACCUAGCUUGAAAUGUCUUUAUAGGUUUGGUGUCGUGAUGCAAGACUCCAGGAACCUACUGGAUGCCUAGCCGCACGAGUGCAGGGCACAGGAGUCCUCUGCCUGGCCCACCUGAGACCCUGAAGUUCACUGGGCAUUGAGCUGUUUCCAGUUCCUGGCUCUUAUGACUAGGGCAGCAGUGAACACGGCGGGGCAAGUGUCUCUGUGGUAGGAUGAACAGCCCUUUGGGUACCUGCCCUGGCGAGGUGUAGCUGGAUCUCAAAGCAUGAGGAACCUCCUCCAUGGAUUUUCACAGAGUUUGUACUCACACCAGCACUGGAGGAGUGUCCCCUACCCCCACAUCCUCAUCACCACGAGCUGUCGUCUGUUUUAUUGCCCUUGGCCAAUUCUGACUGGUGUGAGACUACAUUUUGAAGUAGUUUUGAUUUGGAUUUCCCUGAUGGCAAAGACGUUGAACAUUAAACAAAAAACUUUGUCAGA
Molecule: small RNA, 3575 nt
Filed under: Rattus norvegicus (Norway rat)
Lineage: Eukaryota; Metazoa; Chordata; Mammalia; Rodentia; Muridae
Description: uncharacterized LOC102550673
Source: RNAcentral